CCUAAUUAUUGUUGAUCAAAGAGGAUGCUGUACAUAUAAUCGUUGGCUAAAGAGAUCGUUGACUGAAAGUGAACGAUGUUCUAUUCCACGCACAAUUUAGUGCAUACAUAGAUAUAUUGGUGAAUAAUGAGAGCCAAUGGUCAAUUAAAGCAGCAUGGAUCCACAUCGUGUAUUCAAGACUGGUGUGUCUACAAAGCCAAUCGUCAUAUGUCCCGAGUAGAUAUAUGAAUCAAUCGUUCACGUACUUUAAGAAAAAAUGAAAUUAUUAAUUAUUGUUAACUGGAAUGAAAUAUUGUCCAUACUAUUGUAACGCAUCAAUCAUAAGAAUGACCUAUUCUGUGAAAAUAAUUCUAUAAUGUACAUUACAAUGUCUUAACAUGUAUUCUUGAACGUUGAGUUAUUAAUUAAAAAUUUAUUGAUAUCGAAA
Long non-coding RNA from Athalia rosae (coleseed sawfly), 427 nucleotides. RefSeq lists it as uncharacterized. The record is from RefSeq and is a predicted model, not a curated record. Lineage: Eukaryota; Metazoa; Arthropoda; Insecta; Hymenoptera; Athaliidae. The transcript has 2 exons.